UACAUGGGGUGCAAACGUUGCUCGGAAUUAUUGGGCGUAAAGCGCGCGUAGGCGGUUACUUAAGUCGGAUGUGAAAGCCCUCGGCUUAACUGAGGAAGUGCACCCGAAACUGAGUAGCUAGAGUACGAAAGAGGGUCGCGGAAUUCCCGGUGUAGAGGUGAAAUUCGUAGAUAUCGGGAGGAACACCGGUGGCGAAGGCGGCCUUCUGGACGGUGACUGACGCUGAGGCGCGAAAGCGUGGGGAGCAAACGGG
Molecule: ribosomal RNA, 253 nt
Filed under: uncultured bacterium
Lineage: Bacteria
Description: partial 16S ribosomal RNA
Rfam family: Bacterial small subunit ribosomal RNA
Source: RNAcentral